UCAGCCAUUUUAUUUAUGAAACGUUGACUUUUUUCAACCAACCACAAAGAUAUCGGAACUAUGUAUUUAAUUUUUGGAGUUUGAUCUGCUAUGGUCGGCACUGCAUUUAGAGUUUUAAUCCGCCUGGAAUUAGGUCAACCAGGUUCUUUUAUUGGAGACGACCAAAUUUAUAAUGUAAUAGUAACAGCCCAUGCUUUUAUUAUAAUUUUCUUCAUAGUUAUGCCUAUUAUAAUUGGGGGGUUUGGAAAUUGACUAGUUCCACUAAUAAUCGGCGCCCCAGAUAUGGCGUUCCCUCGAAUAAAUAAUAUAAGUUUUUGACUUCUUCCACCUUCAUUAAUCUUACUUUUAUCCGGAGGACUGGUGGAAAGAGGAGCAGGCACAGGCUGAACUGUAUACCCCCCUUUAUCAAGAGGCAUCGCCCACGCUGGAGCUUCUGUAGAUUUAUCAAUUUUCAGACUUCACCUUGCUGGGGCAAGUUCAAUCUUGGGGGCAGUAAAUUUUAUUACAACUAUCAUCAACAUACGAGUUGAGGGUAUGACUUGGGAUCGAACUCCUUUAUUUGUUUGAUCAGUUUUUUUAACCGCUAUCCUUCUCCUGCUUUCCCUUCCAGUUCUUGCUGGAGCCAUUACAAUACUUUUAACAGAUCGUAACCUAAAUACUUCAUUUUUCGACCCUGCCGGGGGCGGCGACCCUAUCUUGUACCAACACUUGUUUUGAUUUUUUGGUCACCCAGAAGUUUAUAUUUUAAUUCUUCCUGGGUUUGGCAUAAUUUCACAUAUUAUUACAUUUGAAAGAGGUAAAAAACAAACUUUCGGUCAACUAGGUAUAAUUUACGCGAUAAUAGCAAUCGGUCUUCUAGGAUUUAUCGUUUGAGCACAUCAUAUAUUUACUGUGGGAAUAGAUGUAGACACUCGUGCUUACUUUACAGCCGCCACUAUAAUUAUUGCCAUCCCCACAGGAGUGAAAAUUUUUAGCUGAGUAGCGACACUUCAAGGAAGAGCUUUAAUUAUCACCCCAACUUUAAUAUGAGCCAUAGGCUUUGUAUUUUUAUUUACUGUGGGGGGUCUCACAGGAAUUAUUUUAGCUAACUCUUCACUUGACAUCGUACUUCACGACACUUACUAUGUAGUCGCCCACUUUCACUAUGUUUUAUCUAUGGGGGCUGUGUUUGCAAUUAUAGGAGGCUUAAUUCACUGGUUUCCUUUAUUUACAGGAGUAAAUUUAAAUCCUAAGUGACUAAAAAUUCAAUUUUAUACUAUGUUCAUUGGGGUUAAUAUAACAUUUUUCCCCCAACACUUUUUAGGACUAAACGGCAUGCCUCGACGUUACUCAGACUACCCCGAUGCAUUUACUACUUGAAACGUAUUAUCUUCGUUAGGAAGCUAUACCUCAGUAGCUGCCGUUAUUCUAUUCAGCUUUAUUAUUUGGGAAUCUAUUUCGACUGCCCGUCCUAGAGUCCAUAACUUUAUUUACUCUUCAUCAAUUGAAUGACUUCAAAAUAUACCCCCAUCCGAACACUCAUACUCGGAGCUAUCCUUAGUCACACAUUUUUAAUGUGGCAGAUUAGUGCAGUGAACUUAAAAUUCAAAAAUGAAUAAUUUAUUCUUUUAAAAAUUGCAACUUGAGCGGCUUUAGGGUUCCAAAACGCUUCUUCACCUUUAAUAGAACAACUAAUCUUUUUCCAUGACCACACCCUAACAAUUUUGAUUUUAAUUAUUUCUAUUGUAGGAUUUAAUUUAUUCUCAACUAUACACAACACAAAUAUUGACCAACAUAUAAUAGAAUCCCAAGGUUUAGAAUUAUUUUGAACUAUUAUCCCAAGUUUUAUUUUAAUUUUUAUCGGCCUUCCUUCUAUUCGCUUAUUAUAUUUAUUAGAUGAGGUCUAUAACCCGGCAAUCACCAUUAAAACUAUCGGACAUCAAUGAUAUUGAUCUUACGAAUAUUCAGAUUUUAUUAACUUAGAAUUUGACUCAUACAUAAUCCCGUCAAAUGAAAUAGAAAUAAAUAUAUUUCGUUUAAUUGACGUUGAUAACCGAAUAAUAGCCCCUCUGAACUCCCAAGUCCGCACUUUAAUUACAGCUGCUGAUGUUUUACACUCAUGAACAGUCCCAAGAAUGGGAAUUAAAGCUGACGCUGUGCCAGGACGUCUAAACCAAGUUAAUUUUUAUACAAACCGCCCUGGACUAUUUUUCGGGCAAUGCUCAGAAAUUUGCGGAGCAAAUCAUAGAUUUAUGCCCAUCGUAAUUGAAACAAUUCCAGGAAAAAACUUCAUUAAAUGAGUAAAAAAUAUAUCUAAAUAAACUAUUCAUUAAGUGGCUGAAAGUAAGCGUCGGUCUCUUAAACCGUUUCAUAACAAUUUAACAAAUGUUUUUAAUGAAAAAAUUAGUUAACAUUAUUUAUAAUAUAGUUUUGUCAAGACUAAGUGGUUUAAAAACAUUUUUUUAUUCCUCAAAUAGCACCCAUUAUAUGGCUACCUCUUUUUUUAUUGUUCUCUUGGCUAUUCCUUCUAUCUGUAAUUAAAAUUUCUAAUAUUAAAAAUACUAAUAUGAAUGCCAACGUUGGUCAAACUAAUACCCCACUUAGUGGCAACGAAACCGGCCAUAUAAAUUGAAAAUGAUAAUAACUAAUUUAUUUUCAGUGUUUGAUCCUUCAUCUAUAAUUUUUGUAUCUUUAAACUGAAUUAGAUCAUUAAUUGUUUUAAUGAUUCUAACCCCUAUGUUUUGAGUCACCCCUAAUAAAUUUUUUUUAUCAACCUUAAAAAUUUGCAAAAAACUUCAUGAUGAAUUUAAAAUACUGCUAGGGCCCCACUCAUCAGUAGGAAGAACUAUCCCAUUUAUCUCUUUAUUGAUAUUUAUUUUAAUAAAUAAUUUUAUGGGUUUAUUUCCAUACAUUUUUACAGCUUCAAGACAUAUAGUUUUGACCUUAACUUUAAGAUUACCUCUAUGAUUAUCAUUUAUGAUGUACGGCUGAUUAAAUUAUACCAAACAUAUGUUCGCCCAUUUAGUGCCACAGAGCACUCCAAAUUUAUUAAUACCAUUUAUAGUGUUAAUCGAAUCAAUUAGAAAUGUAAUCCGACCUUUAACUUUGGCAGUCCGACUUAUAGCUAAUAUGGUAGCAGGACACCUAUUAAUAACUCUUUUGGGCAACCAAACAGCAGCCGCCUCUAACUUAAUCUUAGCUAGAUUAAUCUUAACCCAAAUUCUUUUAUUAACCCUAGAAUCUGCUGUAGCUAUAAUUCAAUCUUACGUUUUUGCGGUGUUAUCAACGCUAUACGCUAGAGAAAUUACACCCCACUAAAUAAGUAA
Molecule: RNA transcript, 3305 nt
Organism: Folsomia candida
Lineage: Eukaryota; Metazoa; Arthropoda; Collembola; Entomobryomorpha; Isotomidae
Gene name: cytochrome c oxidase subunit 1-like
Exons: 1
Source: RefSeq, a predicted model, not a curated record